GGAGACUCGGAUUUUGAGCGGGUCGUUGGCACUACAAUUGCAAAGCAGCAAUCUGGAGCUGGAGGUGAGCAGUGAGCACCACUCAACGCCGCUAACAACUUAGGCGAUUCAUGGGUUCCUUGGACGCCGCCACCACAACCGAAUCCGGAUCCAACAUUGAGCAAUUUCUUGGCGAUCGGUUACUCGACCGGACGCUGCCCAUCUCCGAACGGUUUAGAGCCCUCUUUUCUCUCCGCAACCUCAAAGGCUCCGCUCCCCGUAACGCCCUUAUUCACGCG
This 278-nucleotide unclassified non-coding RNA is filed under the name Hevea brasiliensis (rubber tree). The record is from RNAcentral. Lineage: Eukaryota; Viridiplantae; Streptophyta; Magnoliopsida; Malpighiales; Euphorbiaceae.